Molecule: transfer RNA, 95 nt
Filed under: Nostoc linckia NIES-25
Lineage: Bacteria; Bacillati; Cyanobacteriota; Cyanophyceae; Nostocales; Nostocaceae
Description: tRNA-Tyr
Source: RNAcentral
GCAAUGUUGGUUGAAGGAAGAAUCUCCGCCCUAUAAGGGCGGAGAGUUGUCAACUCAACCAAUCAAUGCUUGUGAUGAUUUCGCAUAGCUUUAUG